GGGCCGGUAGCUCAACGGCAGAGCAGGCGCCUUUUAAGCGCUUGGUUGUGGGUUCGAGUCCCACCCGGCUCACCA
Molecule: transfer RNA, 75 nt
Filed under: Chloroflexota bacterium
Lineage: Bacteria; Bacillati; Chloroflexota
Also listed under: 1 other name
Description: Chloroflexi bacterium tRNA-Lys
Rfam family: tRNA
About the family: Transfer RNA (tRNA) molecules are approximately 80 nucleotides in length. Their secondary structure includes four short double-helical elements and three loops (D, anti-codon, and T loops).
Source: RNAcentral